This 522-nucleotide long non-coding RNA is filed under the name Pan troglodytes (chimpanzee). RNAcentral's name for it is "long non-coding RNA NONPTRT013580". Lineage: Eukaryota; Metazoa; Chordata; Mammalia; Primates; Hominidae. The record is from RNAcentral.
GGAUUACAGGCGUGAGCCACCGCGCCCGGCCUCUGCAUCAUUAGUUUCUAAAUACAGCAUUAGAAUUGGUUUCUAUAGCCGUGACUGUAUGUGUACCAGCUGAAGGGAAAGUUGAGGUUCAUGAAAUAUUUGGAAGACAGCAUGAGAUCUAACAACUUGUGAAGUGGGAAGAACUGACCAUACGAUAUGACCUUAAAUAUAUUCUCAUUACCUUGGAGGCAUUUUGACCCAUGAAGCAGCAUAGAUAUGUGCUGGCUUCCAGACAUGCAGUAUUCUCGUGCGGACAUUUGCAGCCAGUUAGUGGAACUGACUUUGGUGGUGCCAUCAGUUAGUUAAGCCAUAGAUGAGAUAUAAGAAAUAUUUCGCAUUCUCUACUGUACUGGAUUAUAAGUUAUUGGUAAAAUAAUUUUUAUGCUUUCCUUAUUUAAACAUAUUUCUAGAACAUGGGUUAAAUAGAUAUCUAUAAUUUGAUUCUUACGCAUUUUACUACUUUCAAAUCACAUCCUCUUUUUGAUGUUGCCC